This is a long non-coding RNA of Labrus mixtus (cuckoo wrasse), 3679 nucleotides long. RefSeq lists it as uncharacterized. The record is from RefSeq and is a predicted model, not a curated record. NCBI's taxonomy places the organism in Eukaryota, Metazoa, Chordata, Actinopteri, Labriformes, Labridae. The transcript has 2 exons.
UGCCUCCAGACUCUCAUAUGGACAGUGGAUCUCUUGGGACAACUGGUGAAAGUCUCUCUCUGUCUCUACAGUUACUGGCUGGCUGUGUGAGUGGCUGAGUGUGGGCUGGGGCUCUGCUGUGUAUCCAGAGUGAUUUAUCAGGUUUGCAGGAAGAAGACAGAGGGAGAGAGAGAGAGGGAGAGGGAGAGAGAGAGAGAGAGAAAGAGGGGGGAGACAAUCCCGGUAGCAGUAACCAGGCUGCUUGCUGGGUGCGUUAACUCCAAAUCUGACCUCUAUGGGAAGAGAACAGCCUCCACUCCUCUUCUUCCCUCCUGGCAAGCUGUGGGAAAAAGGGGGGGGCAAAUAUUCAUUUUGCCCCUCUCUGUCUGCUACACGCUGGCCCUUGGACCACUGGGACGCGGCCCUGGAAGGGACUGUUUGGCAGAGGGACAUCAGCAGGGGAGACCCGGGCUCUGAGGAUUGCACUUGGAACGAUUCUUGGACCCGAAGCGGCACAGUUGGCACAGUCAGGCUGCAGUUGUUUAGUCAGUCAUUAGCCAGUCAGAUGGUUAGUUAGUCAGCCAGUAAAUCGGUCAGUGGGGUCCCUCCCAACAGGGUCAACUCUUCCACUUUGUGCAUAUCCUCAUCUGAACUCUGAGGUGACUCAGACUUACCAAGUAGGACCUGUGGGCAUGGUCACAGGUGCUCCACAGCUGCUGUAGAUGGACGGAGGCAUCUGGAGCCCAGGAGGAUGCUGGAGCAGAUACAGAGGGCAGAAGAAGGGCGGAGAGGUGCGAAGUUGAUCCCCCCGCUGUGGUGGGGAGGGUUCCUGGCACCGUGAUUUGAUGCACAAAGAGAAACAAAAAUCACAUUGCCAGGGAUUUCCACUCUUUCACAGCUUAGCAGGUGAUCGCCUUAUAUUUCCACAGUGGGAAGCUUUUUGUAUGGAAGUCUUGGUUGUUCUGUUUCUUAUCUUUUAUUACCUGACAUCAGAAGUUGUUUAAAUCAUGAACAGUUUUUAAGGGGAAAUUGCCAUCACCUCUCAAUGGACUUCAAGCGGUUAUGGGAUCAGCUUUUCACAUGAAGAGCUGUGAGAAAACUCACACAACACACUUAAGCAUUAAAUCUUGCAGUUUCAUGUGCAGCUGUCAGAAACCUAAACUGUCCUGACUGAUCUCACCUUUCAAAUUCAUCCAGAAAGUAGAUGUUAAUGCAUACAAAAGUCACACAGCAUUACAUGACAGAGCAACAUUUUUUCUUUUGGUAAGAUCACAUUUCAGCUCUUCAUAAACACAGACACCAUUUUAAUUUUUUAAAGUCAAGGCUGGGAUCUUCCAUUGGUGGCGCCAUCUGAAACACAAUACAAGAGAGCCCCAUUUAAGGCAAAGCAAAACUCAACAUCAUAAGCACUUAAGGCUUCGAAAGCAGCCACCCUUUACCACUGAGCAGUCACGUAAAGGUCUGCGUUGCGUCUCUGUUCCCUCAAAAGCCAUCCACCCACUUGCUAAAGGCACAGAGCUUAGCUAAUUGGUGAGCAUUGAUCCCUGCUAUGUGUUGUUCACAGUGGCUAAGUUCAGUGCCUGAGGUGAAAUAGUUGAUUCGGCGGAGGGGAUUUGUUCCGGUGAAUGGAAAGAACUUGAUGAUCUCGGAUAUGAAGAAAGGAGGGGCGGAAGGAGGAGAGGGGUGACGAGAGAUUAGGUGGAGAGGGAGCAGGGAAGUUGGGAACACAGAAAGGCUAAAGAUUGUGGUCCCGUGUAGGACCUAUUUAGGGUUAAAUGUGUUAAUGUGGACCAAACGCAGGUUUACGAUUGUGCAAUGCGUUCCAGACGUGAGACAAGCUGUCCUGUUCUUUUAUCGUGUUUCAACUGAAGCAACAACUGUGUAAUGGAUUUGGCAAGAAUCAUCAUGCAUACUUAAUAUAUUUGAAAGCGCGUUAGUGAGACAGAUUGACCCAGGUUUGAUGUGGAUGAAAAAAAAAUGCCACAGUUUGUAUUGCAAUUUGAGGAAUGUGGUGCUAAAUGUCAGACACGUACGGGCAUGCCAAGUUCAUGUCCAAUAGAGUUUGCUCAGGACUGGUGUGCCAGUAUUUUGGUGUCACGUGCCAGCCUGGACAAGCAUGUUGGAGAAGAAACCUGAAUUAAUCUAGUUAAUAAUUGAAUAAACACCUCCCUAACUGAUUUUUGUUGCCCAAUAAUGAUUGUAACUUUGCAAGUGUGAACUGUUAAAACAGCAUUUUCAUCCGAUCUGACUACAGCUACAGUUUGUGUCAAUAUCAGGCUUGGUACAUCAUUCACAUUUUUUGAGUGUGGAUUUACAGGUUGCAUAAAAAAAGAAAAAAAGAAAUCAUUUUUUUCAAGCAGAUCAGGCUCCACAGCACAGUGAAUUCCCUCUAACUUUCAUGCUGCAUAUCCGGUUGAUCUUUUUGUUACAGCUUUUGAAAUGCACAAAGAUUGCACUCUGUAGUGUGAAACGGAGCAAUGUCUGGGCUGUGCCCUCCCGUGCCUACUGAACUGGUAUCAGUGUUUUACCUGAAAACUGGCUCAGUUCAGCAGGAACAGGAGUGGAGCCCACCCACCCGCCCACCAGCCAGCUGGAUCAAGGUCCCAUGUUAUGUCUCCAACGUUUAUUGCAUGUACAGAAAGAAAGCUCUGCCAAGUUUCAACAAUACUUUUGGAUUCCGUUAACCAUAACCACAACAAAACAUUGGUACACAUUUGCCUCAGUCAUUGACCAUGGCUUGAUACAAAUCAAACCCCAGCCCUUCAAUCUGUCGAAUAAUGGCACUGAACCCUGAAGUCUACGUAAAGCAAAGCAGUUCCAGUUAGAAGUGGGUGCCUCAUGCUUAAAUAUGAAUAUUUCAUAAGCAGAUUUACCAUAUUUUGCUUGAUAGGUAGGCCCUGGCAUCCUGAGCCACUUUUUGCAUACUGUUACAUACUGAUGCAGUCGAUCUUGUUGUUCUGCUCAGCCUUCAUGUUUAUUUCAGUAUUCUCCCCUUGAAAAGACCGUAAACACGUCCCUCACUCAUUGCCUAUCUCUCUUUUUCUUCAGUCUUCCUGCUGCUGUCAAUGGCCAGACUAAGACUGGAGUUCAUUGUCAGGUAAUCCCAGCGUAAUGUCUGCUAUGCCUAUAUAAUUGAUGUCAUCCAGCAGUCCCCACUAUCAGUAACUGGGAAUGCGUGUAAUGCUGCUUCCUCCACACUCUCCAUUUAACUCACAUUCACCAAAGGAAAGCUUCAUCUUGACAAUUUCAUACCCACAGGAAAAUGAAAGCUCAUUAGUGAGCAUGAUGAAUAUGCUCCUAUGCAAGAACUCCACUGAUCAUGGCUGGCAGUAUAAAAUUAUAUUUGUGUUGCUUUUGAAUGUCUUAAGGAAAAAUUUUCCAUUGAGCCCUUAAGGACAUUGCCCUCAAAAGGUUAGAAAGCUAUUUUUCACUGUCAUCGGUGUGGCUCUGGCUUUGGGGGCAGUCUUUCAGCCAAGUGGUACCAAUGACUAUUAGUCCAUGAUUUGUGUAAGCAUUUAGUCAAACUGAGUGUAGAAGACAAUGGUCCAUGAAUUGCAUUAUUCUAAAUGUCAGUAAGUUUGUAAGUACUUCAUAUCAUUUCAUGCAUGAUUAAUUAUAAUGUUACAGGUACAACCCAAUGUUCAAUUUAUUACAAACCCAAGAUUCAAUAUAAUAAAGAUGAAAUGAGCCUGAAAAAGAA